CACGAGACAAUAAUUCCCCGCCUGAGGCGGCUGCCUUGCUCGCGCUUCUAAUCCGCCGGCACUUUGCGCGGCAGUGAAAAAAAGCCGGGGAAAAAAGCUGAAAAAGAAGAAAAACAAACAUUGGCAAAGACUCGACUGACAAUUGACGCUAGACGUCAUUGGAUGACCGAAGAUGGCAAGAGAAAUCGAACACGGUGUAGCCGUUACUGAGAGCACGAACAAUUCCUAUUAUGAUUAACGCCUGGAAAGUUGUAGCAGGAUCGGUGUCGUGUGAGGACUUUCUGAAAAGAAUUAUACUGACUACACUUUCUUUCUAAACUCCAUGCAAAAGUACAAUGUACUUGCGCUGGGCGGUGCUUGACAUCAAUUCUACAGGAAGUGGCUGAUAUAAAUUCCGGAAGCGGAACAAUUUACAAUAUGGCGUAACGCAGCUAUCCAGGAAUAAUCAGAUCAAUUUAUUUCCGGUGGUUUCUUUGAAAGAAGCGUGCCUUUUCAUGAAAGAGCCUUUUCAUGCGGUCAUACCUAAAAAAAGGAUCCAAGCAGUCGUACCAACAUGUAAGCAAAAAUAUGUACUACAUAUAAAAUUUUUGAGUCUUUCAAAAUAUUAAAAAAUUUCAUUUAUCAACAUUUAAUAAUAAGAAAUGUAAAAAUUCAAAAAUCGGUCAAGAACCGAAUACAAGUAAUUCUUUUCGAAUAAUCCUCGGAACGAUGCACUAAUGGUGUCCGAGGGCUAUCACGAAGACACAAAAUUCCGCGGGCGACGAUUUCGAAGUAUCCAAUAAGAAGGUGGAGGAUAAGGAACGUGAAGAGCAGAGGUACCAAAUGGGGUUUCCAGUUCCAGUGAAGUUCCUCGUAGAAUUCCUACGAGAUUACAAAUGAAGUUAAAGAAAAAUCGUGUGAGCCCCCAAGCAUUUUCUCGAGUGUCUUUCUCCGCGUGUAAUGCCCAUUUACCUCAAGGCAGCGUCCAGAGUUCGCGAUUUAAUUAACAGGCCCAAAGGAUCAGUGCAGCGACCAAAGCCAUCGUAACAACUUAAUGGAGGCCUCUUUUACGUCGGAGUCACAAAAAUUACAGUCGUAAAAGGCAUUGCCAUUCCGAGCCGUGUAAUAUGGCAGUGAGCAAGCAUGCAGAAAAGGGUAAAAUUCCUAGAUAUAUAAUUUUUUCAAAAUUGGACAAGAAAUAGUUUACUCACGCAUAACCUCUAUAAGGUAUUACGUUAAAGUCCGGCAAGAGACACACUUAUGACAUUAUACAUGUAUCAUCCACUAAUCAAGUACGUAACGUAAAUCAGCAACCUAACCUAAGAAAAUCAUGUUGCAAUUAAAACGCGACAACGUAACCAAGAAAUCACCAAGUUUAAUCGCCCUUUGCGAAAUUGAUCGUACGACUGAUUUCUGAAAAUAUCACAGAGCCGUCAUGGCGCUAUCUGAAUAUUUUCCCACAAUCACAUACGUACAUAAUGUCCACACGAAGCGACGCGAUAUCCCUGCAAUCGCAUUAUGCAUACGUGCUACACAUAUAUACUCGGCAACGUAGUUUAUAUGCAUAUAGAACGUGUCAUAGAAACGCACUGAAGAUAAACUCAUAAAAGAACACAAGAGGUUAACUCGGGCCGAUCUCAAGCACAACUAACAGUGGCAAUUAACUCGGCGAGUAUGUCCUGCUCCAGGACUUGAUUUACGUGCAGGCAUUGCAGUUGACGUGAGUGCAAGGGAGAAAGCUGUGGAAACCAACAAGAAGAAAUAAGGAUUGAUAAGAGAUAAAUGAAAAAAGAAUUUAAAAAACAUAUUUUUCCUGAAAACAUAACCUCACCAUUGAAAAGUUACAGAGUCUCUUUAGGUGUUAAGAACUUAUCGGUGCUACUGACAGUCAUUAAUAUAGUAUUGUGAGCCCUCGACUACCUGGUGUGUUGAAGCCCUUCUUCAGUUUAAUGAUCCUAGCCAGGGUGAGGAUCAUAUAUGCCACUGGAAUAGUGUAGAUGCAUUGUCAGAUAGAUCAUAAAUCAUGGAACGUUCAAGGAACACGAUGAUUUCACCUUGGCAAUGAUCCAGGAAACGAGAAGAUGGUCCAUCGGUGUCACAAGGAUUCACGUGUGACCGUCACUUUUGCGUACAAAGAUCCUUAAUGCCAGCGCAGUCGGACACGGACGUUUCUAUUCAGUCGGAAUGGCCGACGGCUUGCGGUAACGCAAGUGCAAGUGCAGCGCACGGGACAGGGACGGCGCAGCACGAUGCGGCUGGACCGUUGCGCACGGUUAGAUCUUGAAAGGGAUGCUGCUCUUGCGAGUUCAUAAGUUAAGCGUUCUUCCUCAUCCUUGGGCUUUGAUGCACCAGCCACCAUAAUGGAAGAUUUAUCGUGAUAUCAUACGACUUAGCGAUAAUUUGUCAUCUCAGAAUUUUCACGUCGAUUCAAAAGAAAGCGUGGACGAACUUUUUUUAUCUUAUAAAAAAAUGUGUUAUAUAAAUGCAGUUAUGGCUUUCUAUAUACGAAUUCGUUGUACAGUAUGUGAUUCUGGUGAAGAUAAUAUUGUAGCUGUCACGUGUCUUUUAUACAGUCGUUUAUAUUAUUGCGUGUAUAUGUGAUUAGGAAACAGUUAGGCGAGUCUUUGUAGAUUGUGGAUGCGGCUUGUUGAUGAUUUUAUAAGCAAAUUUUCGAGUGCAUUGGAGAUGAAUGCUUCUGCCUUGGUAGCUUAUUGAUAUUCUCACCCGAGGCAGAGCGAUUUUUAUAAAUAAUGAUGAUGCACCAGGUGCCGUCCAUUGGGAUGUAGGACCGCUCCCAGCAUCCCGGCGUCUUAGCAUCCCAAUAUCGAAUACAAUCAAAGGCCGAUCGAGCACAAUGCAGACGAUUCACUGUUACAACUCUCAUUAUAAUUUUGCGUGAGGGACGAGUUCGAAUAAUAAUUAUUAAAAGGGUUCACAGUCGGGCCCGUUUAAACGUCACUUUUACAUCCAAACGAAAUUCCAGGAAGUAUUAUAAAUCUCUUGAUAGAAGAUCGAUCAGACUGAUCUCAAUUUCCAGGAAGCUGUGGACUCCUCUUAUGUUUUGCUUGUCUUAUUUAUCUUGAUAGGAGAGGUAGUGGAAUUUUUAUAAGAUUUAUAUAUGCCACGUCGUAUACGUCUCCCUAUGCUAAUUUGCUUGUCUGAUAUAUUUAUAUUUUUUAUUUUUUAUAGAAACCACCUUAAGACACGCUACCCACGUUUCUCUUGAUACGUUGUGAAACUUUCGUUUCCGCGACUCCAAUGUUCUUCUUGGUGGAGAAUCCAGUGCCGGAAGGAUAUUGCGUAAACGGAAGUGCGUGAGGACUCUUUGUCUCUUGGAGUCUUUGAUGGUAUCCACCUGAGGACUGUAGGGCAGAACAAAAGCCAAGAGAGGAGAAUAGAGAGGAUGUGGAAAAUUAUGAGAGUCGAUCGUUUGACUCGUAAAGGGUCGACUUACUGUAUUACUGCAAUCAGACGUAUUGGAGUUCAAUUACGGAUGUCAGUUUCAACCUUAUGGACUCAUUGAUCAACUGAUUAUUAUUAAUUGAUGUGAUACAGUAAGUAAGAAUAUUUGUAAUUGAAAAUAAUUACAAAAAUAUUGUUUAAGAAAAUUUGUCAUACGGAAGUGAAUACCUCGUACGUAAUAAUAACAUAAUUUAGUGAAAUAUAUUCAGGGAGGUAGCAAAAGAAAGAAGGAAAAGAAAAUGGUCAAAACGCUGAGACUUUGUUGUAUCGAUCGUGACGUUAUAAUUCAGUUCUGUGUUUCCGCCUGGGGAGGAAUCUCUUUGCCAGCCGUGCAAUUACGUCAUGAGAUGCUACAGUUUCCGCAAUGGGGUGUAAAUAUUAAAGGAACAAAGGAAGAAGAAACAGGAGCAGAUUGUACGCAGCUUCACUUCGUCUUCCUUCCAGGAAUCCUUUCAGAUCGAAUCGUCGCUUCCGUGCAUGGGGUUGUCUUCCUUCCUAUAAGAAGUAUCGGGGGUACCGAACGAAGGAAAGGAAAUCGAAAAAUAAAAAAAAUAGAGGAAGCAAGGACUCCUAGCUGAACUAACGGAACGGAUCUGUUCGAUAUCAAUCCUGGAAACAGAUGGGAUCGAUUAAGGCAAUUUAAUCUCAGUAUCCACAUGGUUCUGGAUCCUUGACUUAGCGGGAUCGAAGGAUCAAGGAAAACCCAUUCCCUGAGAAAAGUGUUGUGACUAUUGUUACCCUUAAAUGGAUCUAAUGUGGAUCAUUUAUCCAACCCUGGGUGGUCCACCUGCGAAUAUUGCUUCUGUCGAACCAUGAGGUUAAAAAAUUUUGACUCCGUUUAUAAUUUUUGGAUUUUUCAUUGAAUUUCAUAAAAUCCAUUUUUUUUAUAUACUCCAGAAAUAAACGGUACAAUGUAAAACUGUCGAAAUUAAAUAUUUUGGAAAUUUUAUCGAAUAUUAUAUUUUUCUCUAUAAGUAUAUCGUAUAUGAAGACCACACAGGAGGAUUCAGCACAAUACACAAUAAUGCCAGUCACGAAACCCUCGCGAUUGAACGAUCAAGACGUUCCGCCGGUUAUUAGCGCGAUGAACGGAUUUAAAAGGGACUCCAUUUUGGAGCUGUUAUAACCCGCGACUUCUCUCUAGGGAUUGUUAGCCAUUGUUUGAUCGGGGUUAAAAGUUUCUAAGCGCCCUUAAAAGCCGAGUAAUUCGCUUCCUUCCGCCACCCACGUCGAAGCGCGCCGGCAGCUUGCUGCUUUCUCCGCAGGUCGUUAAACUAAAAAAAAAAAAGAUUAAUAAGGAUCAAAAAAAAUUAACGCCAGACUUAAAAGAAUCCGAAACCCUUUGUAAUUUUCAUUCAUCAAGAGUUGCGUGGUCUUUUCACUUUUUCAAAUUCCCUAUGCUACAGGAAUCUACCUUUUCUUCAGUUUUUUUUUCUCUUCAAGUUAGACAUUUUCGCGGAUUAUCCUUUUCAUUAUGUUCCAAGGUCAUUCUACCUAUUGUAAUAUACACAGUAGUCAGUGGAUACCAAGCCGCAAGGAUUAUAACGCCCUUACAGGCAUUUAUGACUACUUAUUCGUCUCUACCUGCCUUUUAAGGUUUUGCACAAUUAGCCUCGCGCCAUAUUUCACCUAACUUCCAAAUCGGCUGUGGUUACCCAGCGGCAAUGAAUUCCCUAGGUAAUAUUUAAGAAGAUAGCAGCAUAUACAGUUGUAACAAAAAAUACAAUAAAAAUCACGAGAACCAAGUAUGUCCUGUUGGAAUUUAAAUUAGGCAAAUAAAAAAAGACAAAAAUUUCACUGACGCAAAAUCUAUAAAUAGAAAAAACCUGCACGUGCCAAUAAAGAAUUUCGUAACGAUUGUCCUAAAAUAUCCUUGGACGACAAUGCAUCUUUCGUGUAGGCAUUCGGUACAGCAGCUGCAGCUGCAUAUGCACUUAAAACCGAUAAGCAAGUGCACCUGCGCUCAACGAGAGUGAACAAGGUAAUUAAAUUACAUAAGAAAGUGCAACAAGUGUUUGGGUAGAUCAGCGUAUUCAGAAUUUACAAAAUUUCAUAUUUUCAUAAAACAUUUUCUCGCUCAUUGUUAAAAAUGAAAAAAAAAAUAAAAAGUUUACACGAGAAAAUUCAUCAUCACCAAUGACGUUGUACGUUUCAACGAAUAUUCCAAUGAUAUAUUGCCCGGCCACGCCCGGUUUGUUUUCACUUGCAUGGACUGUAAUUAGCAAUCAGUACGUAAUUGCAAUUACCUGGUAGAGUUAAUUGUUUAAGAGAUUUAAGAGACGCCGCGAUCUAGAUUGAGCCAAGUCGGCAGUCUAACAGAAGACCAUAAUAUAUAUAUACAACAUAAAAAGAAAAGUGAAUCGACACGAGUAAACCAAAGACUGUGAACGAAGCCUUAAAGGUUCUAAAAGUCACUACCUGUUCUAUCUGAAGAAACAACAACAACAGCUACAAUACAAAACAGCUUGUUUCAUGGAAACACGACCAGAGAAUAAAAAUGGGAGUCGGAUACCUGGAGUGAAGUAAAAUAGAAAAUGAAUCUGCAGGCUAUGGAUCUAUUCAAAAGUUGAAGAUGAUUUAAUUGGUUGAUGCGAUUUUGAAAAACCUAUGGAUUUUAUUGUAUCGUCAAGACUUUAAUAUACUGGGUGUUUCAUAAUGGGUGGUCGAAUAAGGAUAUAUAUUAUGUAUAUCCAAUUACACAUAUCUGUACACAUUGAACAUAUAUUAUAUACAUGACGUAUCCUUGUGCAAUAGUAAAUGAAAUAUUCGCAGUAAGUAAAGAA
This is a long non-coding RNA of Cephus cinctus (wheat stem sawfly), 6224 nucleotides long. RefSeq lists it as uncharacterized. The transcript is spliced from 5 exons. The record is from RefSeq and is a predicted model, not a curated record. Lineage: Eukaryota; Metazoa; Arthropoda; Insecta; Hymenoptera; Cephidae.